This 253-nucleotide ribosomal RNA is filed under the name uncultured bacterium. RNAcentral's name for it is "partial 16S ribosomal RNA". It matches the Rfam family "Bacterial small subunit ribosomal RNA", at positions 524 to 776 of the family's 1533-position model. The record is from RNAcentral.
UACGAGGGGGGCAAGCGUUGUUCGGAAUUAUUGGGCGUAAAGGGCGCGCAGGCGGCUCUGAAAGUCAGAUGUGAAAGCCCCGGGCUUAACCUGGGAAUUGCAUUUGAUACUCUGGAGCUUGAGUACGGGAGAGGAGAGUGGAAUUCCCAGUGUAGAGGUGAAAUUCGUAGAUAUUGGGAAGAACACCGGUGGCGAAGGCGGCUCUCUGGACCGUAACUGACGCUGAGGCGCGAAAGCGUGGGGAGCAAACAGG